GAUGAACGCUGGCGGCGUGCCUAAUACAUGCAAGUCGAGCGAACAGACGAGGAGCUUGCUCCUCUGACGUUAGCGGCGGACGGGUGCGUAACACGUGGAUAACCUACCUAUAAGACUGGGAUAACUUCGGGAAACCGGAGCUAAUACCGGAUAAUAUAUUGAACCGCAUGGUUCAAUAGUGAAGGACGGUUUUGCUGUCACUUAUAGAUGGAUCCGCGCCGCAUUAGCUAGUUGGUAAGGUAACGGCUUACCAAGGCAACGAUGCGUAGCCGACCUGAGAGGGUGAUCGGCCACCCUGGACCUGAGACACGGUCCAGACUCCUACGGGAGGCAGCAGUAGGGAAUCUUCCGCAAUGGGCGAAAGCUUGACGGAGCAACGCCGCGUGAGUGAUGAAGGUCUUCGGAUCGUAAAACUCUGUUAUUAGGGAAGAACAAAUGUGUAAGUAACUAUGCACGUCUGGACGGUACCUAAGCAGAAAGCCACGGCUAACUACGU
Molecule: ribosomal RNA, 496 nt
Filed under: uncultured bacterium
Lineage: Bacteria
Description: partial 16S ribosomal RNA
Rfam family: Bacterial small subunit ribosomal RNA
Source: RNAcentral